AAAACUCCAUCCAGAGCAAUUUUCAGCCAUGCAUCCUCUCAGUAGCACAAUAGCUGGAAAAUGUAACUUUCUUAAUAACUGUACAUCAAUACCACAAAUACACAUUUAGUGUGACAGAUUCGAAACAUAUUACACAUUCCCCUCUUCGGUUCAUCUUCAAAUUAUGAGAUCAGAAGAAACUAAGAUUGCUAAUUAUGAUGUACCAAUCAUGACACGUUUAUUGUUGAAAACUAUAUACAUGGAUGACCAUGCGGCCAGAGCUAGCCCUCAGUAAAAAUAAUCCAGUUCUCUUUUGUUGAAAACUAUAUAGAUAGAUGAUCAUGUGACCAGAGCUAGCUCUCAACAACAAUAUCCUGUUCUCUUUUGUCCGUCGCUUUCUUAUAGCAAAGCUGAAUUGCUCGUUCCUAUAUCUAUGCCAUUACAAAUGAGAAGACUCCAUGUUACCUGGUGUUUAUCAAGUCAAAAAAGAAUGGCAUUUAGCACGGAAGGAUGAAAAUUCUGGGCAUCAAUCUUGUGUACAGAUGAAUUAUGAAGCAAAAGAUACAGACUGCAGAGUGAGAAAUGACCAACGUAAAACAAUAUAAUUUGUGUACUGUAAGAAUUUAACACUGAAGAACCAAUAUACUCCCUCCAUAAAGAAAUAUAAGAGCAUUUAGAUAACUAAAGUAGUAAUCUAAACACUGUUAUAUUUCUUUACAGAGGGAGUACUUAUGGUAAUAAUUCAUAUCCAAAGAAGUAAUCGAUGAAGGGGCAUCCGACGCGAAUUUAAGCAGACAUUUGAAUAAAACAUGUCAAAGAAUUAUCCAACCAAUUACUGCAAUGGGCUUACUGUCAGUAUACACCUUGCAAAGGCUAAUUAAUUAUGAGAGACUUUAACGUCUCAAAAAGCUUAAUGCCUAGAAAUUUGCCAUCCCUAGAAAGAAAAUAAUCACAGCUUGUACUUAGUAACACGCAUAAAAAAUACAGUCCAGUCGAUUUCGUUUUGACAGAACUACUGGUGGGCAUGCCAUUCAGCUGCCGUAUCACUAAAAGGUAGCAGCCAAUGGGACCUGUAGAAACCUAUACAUGUAGAAUAAAAUAGCAUCCAAAAUUGUAUCAUAAAAGGGAACUGAUACUCAGGCCAAGAUAAAGCUUACAUCAUGGCCACACACACACGCUCAGUCACAAUCAACGUAGUCGGCCUGUGAGAGGAGCGUGUGUAUACAUAUUGGACACUACCUGGAUAUAUAUAGAUUAUUGCGAUGGAAGUCUCGGGCGUAAUGUGGAGAUGGAUGGUUCAAGCAGAGCGAUAACAUGUAUACAUGUCAAUUAUACACAUAGAAAAUAAUACAGUGGUUACUUAUCGGAAAUGGUAACCCACAACAUUUUACUCAUGCUGGAGGGCAUAAAUCAUUGCAUACUUAUCAAUUUCAGUUACUGUUUCAACUGGAAACAUGCAAGCGGAAUUCAGAGAAUAGAUAAUAUCGCCAUCAUUCAAAUGCGUGAUUAAAAAAAGUGGUAUGAAAUUGAAAGAUUUCUGUUAACUUAGAAAAUCAGAAUAUUAUUGUCAGAGUGCAACAUUAUUUUAGUUUACUAAAAAACCAAAAAAUGCUUGAUCAUUCAGAACUUCUUUGGAAGUCAAGUUAAAGUCAAGGUGGAUUAAUCUUCUUAGGAGAAAUGACCAAGUAUAUGUGCUAUAUUUAAUCUUCAGUUUAGGUUCUAGAUUAACUGAUUAAGCCGUCUAUGCAAGUGAACAUACAAAAGACUGCAGAAAUUCAAAUUGGAUAAUCUAGUUAUCCAAGCAUAGCAUGAAAUCAAUCGAAGAAUCAGUCCAAAAACAAAUAUAAGAGCAUGUGCACUGCAGAGGGAAACAAUGUAUCGAUACAUUGAUUUCCGAAAAACAAAUGAUGUAAUUAUGUGGCAAUAGGAAGAUGGAUUCCGGGAGGUAGAAAGCUAUGGAGAAGCGAACCAACACUAUACGUACAGAAGCCAAAAUUCAAGUCAAACCUGCAGUAGCAGGAACAGUUACAAUGUGAUCAAUGACGCGAAUUGGAGGUAGUUAAAAUCAUAUAAGGACUAUAUAUACUAUUUGCAACCUACUUAAAAAUAGUAUGGUAGUGAUUAAGUUUUCUCACAUAUUGUUUUUACAGUUCCUAGUCUAGAUUACUAUUUGGAAAAGUAGAUAUAUUGUCACGCAUGUACACUAAACAUUCUGCUGCGCACAAUGCAACACAUAAAUCUGUUAGUUUCGUAAAAACAUAUUUAGCUAACAAUAUUCGGAUCAUUAUCAACGUAUAUACCUCCCCGCUCUAAAUAUGCAAAUCACUAAUAGGGCACACUGAUACAUAUUUUGUAUAAGUUAGCAUCUCUAAAAUCUAGACACUGGAACUCCAAAAAAAAUAUCAUAUUAUCAGGAACGACCUAGGAAAUAUGGAUUCCAUCGUUACAUUUGCAGGGAAAUUUCAUAUGGGUGUUUAAUAAUAAAAAAACAUAGAUUUGGAUCCCUUUUCAAACACGGUACAUGUAUGUGCUGUAAAUAGAACCUAUAUAACUCAUGUACGCCAUACAUCUAGCUUAAUUUUUGCAUGGGCAACAAUUUGAAAAUCUUACUGUAGAUCUGCCAAAGAUAGAUAUAUAUGCCACUACCAUGCGAUAAUCUAACAAUUAGCGUUUACUUGGAAGAAAUAACAUACAACAUCGAAAUUCAUUCCACAGGAAUUGUCAACUGUUUUUGUUGUCUAACAAAUGGUCGCACGGGAAGACAUGUGUAAAGCUUCCUGUGUAAACAGUUAAUGUAAAUUGGCUGGUUGGCAGUGGCAGUUGAUGUGGAUGUAGCUUAACAGAAACUUGCUGCAUGGUGCCACUUUAGGCGAGAUCACAUUCUAGCUGGUUCUCACCCACUCGCCCAAAUGUAUAAUCUGACGCAGAGAAGUGAUGAAGAUAGAUAUAGAAAAAGGCCUUUUGUUGUUGAUGAGAUGUGAUGGAUUAAGCCGACUUAUUAGGGGUUCAGUGAUGAAUUAAACGGAUGAAGGAGCAGGGAUUUAACAAUGCAAGGCGAUUUACCAGUGGAGUGGGGCAUGAAUAACGGGAGACUGCCUCGAGUAGGGCUUCGAUUGUAACUUGCGGUGCCACCAGACCAAUGUAAUUGCUCAACUUGACGGUCUCAAGUACCAAUCGAGGCCUCCUUUCUUGAAACCAUCAUGCAUACUACACCUCCUCAUAUGAUGCAUCAACCAUCUAUAUUUAAAAACUUGAAAUAAGAAGAGUUCUAAUGGUUGGGUGAGGAGAAAUUGGAUUGCAUCACUGAUCAUAACAUUGCAAUGAAAUACAAAAAAGAGGUCUGUAUACAUGGUACUCCAAGAAUAACAAUGCGAGUUUGAUACAUAUACAUAGUGAGAAAAAAUACUAAUGUUACAACAAAAAUCAAAAGCCUUUAUAGAGCCCUAAAACACAAAUUAGUAAUUCCCACAAAAAAACACGAAUUAUUAAUGCUAUUGUGAUGCAACCUUUUUCAGAUCAAAAGAACAUGCAGAUCCGACAUCUUUUUCUAGAUCAAAGGGGCACACCAAUCUAAUGGAAAAUAGAAACACACAUGGCUUACCUGAGAUCAUCACUACGGCCCUGGAUGUGAAAAGUUGAAAUAAGAGGAGAUUUAAAGAUUUCAUAGGGGCGGGAUUGAGAAGAGAUUGGGUUGCAGGAUGGAUGGCCGGUGACCUGCAACAGAGAACAAAGAGGGAAACGGAGACGGCUGGGCGCGCGGCGACGGAGUACCUUGGGGCGCGACGGAGGCUGAAGCUUCUGCUCACCGGCCAUGAAUGGGAGCGCCGUCUAGGGCAUGGAGAGCAGCGGAGGAGAAGACGGGUCGCCGGCCAUGAAUGGGAGCGCUGCCUAGGGGCAUGGAGAGCAGCGGAAGAGGAACAAUGGAGGAGGAGAAGACGGGCCAAUGGAGCAGGUGAUUUUGUAUUCUGUAUUAUUAAAUUAAAAGAGAGGAGGC
RNAcentral lists this long non-coding RNA (3973 nucleotides) under Triticum aestivum (bread wheat). RNAcentral's name for it is "long non-coding RNA (TAES_LNC003085)". Lineage: Eukaryota; Viridiplantae; Streptophyta; Magnoliopsida; Poales; Poaceae. The record is from RNAcentral.